This 77-nucleotide microRNA precursor is filed under the name Lutzomyia longipalpis. RNAcentral describes it as "microRNA mir-11". It matches the Rfam family "mir-11 microRNA precursor family". The record is from RNAcentral. Lineage: Eukaryota; Metazoa; Arthropoda; Insecta; Diptera; Psychodidae.
UUGUUUAGCAAGAACUUUGGCUGUGACCUGCGUCCUAUUAUGCGAAUCGCAUCACAGUCUGAGUUCUUGCUGAACGA